This 30-nucleotide non-coding RNA is filed under the name Cricetulus griseus (Chinese hamster). The record is from RNAcentral. Lineage: Eukaryota; Metazoa; Chordata; Mammalia; Rodentia; Cricetidae.
CUGGAGGGAUGGCUCAGAGGUUAAGAGCAC